This is a long non-coding RNA of Mauremys mutica (yellowpond turtle), 982 nucleotides long. RefSeq lists it as uncharacterized. The record is from RefSeq and is a predicted model, not a curated record. Lineage: Eukaryota; Metazoa; Chordata; Testudines; Geoemydidae. The transcript has 5 exons.
UAGAAGGCCAAGUGCUCUUUCAAGGACCAUCAAAGCUAAAGGGAGCCUUUCAUUUCACGUUAACCAGAAGCUGAAUCAAUUGCUAAAGACAUGGUAAAAAGUUUAAAGAUAUUUUUCUGAAUACUCCUGCUACAGGAGGAGCAAUUCAGCACAGCGCCAGUAAGUAGCAGUCAUGGAGGAAUCUCAGAAUGUUGGUGGUUGCUGAGCAAGCUGGACUAUCUUUACUCAUAUUUGUUGGAAUGGGAGCAGAUCCCAUGAAGAACUUUGAAUGAGAAACUUUGCAAAGAUCUGAUAUUUGAUAAUGCUUCCCCCCCUCCUCUGCAUUGAGACUUCAGAGCAGACAGUAGAUGACUUCAGGGAACUUGAAAGCAUAUUGAAGAAGAAGAAUGCCCAAGUGAUCUUUUCUGAGAAACUUCCUGUCCCAUGAAUGAAGACAGAAGGCAGAAGUAAACCGCUGGCUAGGAUGGAGUCCUGUUCCUAGAAAGGAGAGAAUAAGACAGAGGGAGCUGUACAUCCUGUUGACUCAACUCUGAACCUGCAUGCUGCAAUCUAGAGAAAACAUCUGGAUAAAAUUACAAACAAGAGUGUUAAGUUACCGAACAACACAUCUUCCUGGCAAGUCCACAUUCAAACUUUGGCUAUACAAUUUGUAGAUUGAUUAGACAUUUUAUUAUUAUUUUAUGGGGCAGUUCAAGAAACAAGGUCAGUCUGCUUGGAAUUUUUACAAGAAAAUAGCUAAUAAAAACAUAUUAAACUUUUGGCAAUGCCAGAAGUUUGUACUGUGUAUGGGAGCAUGAAGAUGUGAGCUACAGCACUGGUUCAGUGCAUCAAUCAGUGUGAUUAUAAUGUUAAUGUCUGAGCGGUAACACUUGGAUAUGAGUGUCUGGACAGAAUUCAGGAUCUCAAGAAGAGUUUUUCUGUUUCCCAGUGACAGCUGCUGUCCAAAUCAAACCACUUUUUUUGGGUAGUAACAUUUAUAUCA